Molecule: long non-coding RNA, 519 nt
Organism: Oncorhynchus keta (chum salmon)
Lineage: Eukaryota; Metazoa; Chordata; Actinopteri; Salmoniformes; Salmonidae
Exons: 3
Source: RefSeq, a predicted model, not a curated record
GUUAGAGAGGAAGACCACAGGUACACCUAGCUAGACCUCCAGGGACUGCAUGUCGACGAGGCCUUACUGCACCUGUCUGAGGUGUUAGAGAGGAAGACCACAGGUACACCUAGCUAGACCUCCACGGACUGCAUGUCGACGAGGCCUUACUGCACCUGUCUGAGGUGUUAGAGAGGAAGACCACAGGUACACCUAGCUAGACCUCCAGGGACUGCAUGUCGACGAGGCCUUACUGCACCUGUCUGAGGUGUUAGAGAGGAAGACCACAGGUACACCUAGCUAGACCUCCAGGGACUGCAUGUCGACGAGGCCUUACUGCACCUGUCUGAGGUGUUAGAGAGGAAGACCACAGGUACACCUAGCUAGACCUCCACGGACUGCAUGUCGACGAGGCCUUACUGCACCUGUCUGAGGUGUUAGAGAGGAAGACCACAGGUACACCUAGCUAGACCUCCACGGACUGCAUGUCGACGAGGCCUUACUGCACCUGUCUGAGGUGUUAGAGAGGAAGACCACAGG